GGCGGGCUGUGGCUCUCCCUGGAGUUCAACCGGUGCCCUGGGGCUUUUCCAGGUGGAACCUGGGCACCUGCUGCUUUAACAACCUACGCUAGUGUUGUGUUAGGGGCUGCCGGGAGGGGCCUGGAGGAUGAAGGUCAAGGUCUGAGCCGACUGACCUUUGAACCUCAAGCUUGAGUCUAACCAACGGGCGUCGGUGUGGCGGCGGAGCAGUCCCGUCCCUGGGCCGAGCCCCACAGGCGUCCCGUCCAACAAGGCAUCUGAGUCUUGGCGCUCGCGGAGUUGGUUGGUGUGGGAUGGGAGUGGGGGUGUGUUUUGGGGGGUCCCAGGAGCUCCCCAGGCUCUGCUCUUCUGCUGGGCAGCCUGUGCCCUCCUGCCAGCGCCUCUUUUCUCAGGGAGCCCCGACAGUGAGGACUACAGCUCCUGUGCUUCUUUUGACCUCUGGUCAAAAGAGGGGUGUCCUCUUUGGGGUCUAGGACUCUCUGCACCGACUCUUCGGACUACUGCUGCUAUGAAUGCGUACAGAUCUGUGUGUGGGCCUGUUUUCAUUUCUCUCGGGCGGAUACGGAGCAGUGGGACUGCCGUGUCUUAACAGUAAGAGAGACAGAGCAUGAACGGAGGAGGGCCAGAGAGAGAGGGAGAC
Long non-coding RNA from Felis catus (domestic cat), 640 nucleotides. RefSeq lists it as uncharacterized. The transcript is spliced from 3 exons. NCBI's taxonomy places the organism in Eukaryota, Metazoa, Chordata, Mammalia, Carnivora, Felidae. The record is from RefSeq and is a predicted model, not a curated record.